Long non-coding RNA from Gordionus sp. m RMFG-2023, 838 nucleotides. RefSeq lists it as uncharacterized. The record is from RefSeq and is a predicted model, not a curated record. NCBI's taxonomy places the organism in Eukaryota, Metazoa, Nematomorpha, Gordioida, Chordodea, Parachordodidae. The transcript has 5 exons.
GAAUAAUCUUCAAAUUAAUGUAUUGUCAAGAAUCGUUUACAGAUUUUACCAUUUAAAUUUCACAGGAAAUCUUUGCAUACUAUGUAUAAUGAUAUUCAAAAUCACAAAUAUUUAUCAAGUUAAAGGAAUAAAGUGUUCACAAUGCUCAACUCUUCAAGAUCCUCUAUGCAUAACCAACCCACCUCGCGCUAUAGAAUGUCCCAAUUUAAUAUUCCAAUAUUGCUUAACUGUAGUCGAAACAAACUUAUCGGAUUGAUUCCUAACUAACUAAGUACACACUACUGCUGAAACCACAAAUAAUUUAACCCCAAAAUUUUACUGAACAAGCCUGCCUCUCAUCCCCUACUUCCGUGAGAUUUUUUACAACACUUCAUCUUAUCAUAGUCAUGGUGGAAGCCGUGUCAAUGAGUCCUGAAACGAAAUGCAUUCUUUAAAAUUUAUCAUAUAACUUUACAACGCCGCACUCACUUGAAUAAAUCCUCUCAUCAAUAGAUGUUGUCGCUACCAUACCUAACCAUCUUGAGCCCAUCAACCAAACCUAUCGCAGAUAGAUUAAGAUAUGGCAGAAUGACUACAAUUCGGCUCUCUCAUUUCUUAUACUCGAAGUUGCAGUCCCGAAUAUUUUCCCACAAAAUGUGAAAAUCUAAAAUCAAAUACAUUACACCUUCAUUAUCUAAACGAUUCCCUAUUAUUUAAAGAACCAAAAGUUAUCAAUAUUUGCGUCAAAUCGUGUCCAACUAAUUCAUGCAACUCUUUGCCCUUAGAUCAGACAUCCCGUGGUCCAUCUCGAUAUCAAACUAAUAAUAACUUAAUUCUAUGCAUUUUAUACAUAUCUAUA